RNAcentral lists this ribosomal RNA (201 nucleotides) under uncultured bacterium. RNAcentral describes it as "partial 16S ribosomal RNA". It matches the Rfam family "Bacterial small subunit ribosomal RNA", at positions 1299 to 1500 of the family's 1533-position model. The record is from RNAcentral.
UGCAGGCUGCAACCCGCCCGCAUGAAGUCGGAAUUGCUAGUAAUCGCGGAUCAGCAUGCCGCGGUGAAUACGUUCCCGGGCCUUGUACACACCGCCCGUCACACCAUGGGAGCCGGUAAUACCCGAAGUCAGUAGUCCAACCUCGUGAGGACGCUGCCGAAGGUAGGAUUGGCGACUGGGGUGAAGUCGUAACAAGGUAUC